CAAACAUUCAGUGUCUCCUCCCUCUGCAUGCAGACACUGAACUUUCCUCAUAGAGAUUCAUUGAUUUAAUUCAUCUCUAUGAGAAGAUGCUGAUCAGCCAGGGCUGUGUUUGAAUCAUGCUGGUAUUGGGGGGCUAGAUGGUGGUUUUAACACUAUAGGGCAUACAUGUUUGUGUUCCUGACCCUAUAGUGAUCCUAUAAAAUAUGCAUAUGGAUCCACAUCUAUAAAUUUUAGUGUACUUUCCCUGUGGUGCGAACUCAAAAGAAUUAAAUAUCCAUAUAUCAGUAAUUAUUAACUGGUCGAUUUGAAGCUUGUUUCAGCAGUAAAGUAACUGUCACUUUCAGAUGUCUGCAUAUAUUUGCAAAGACACCUGAAGGGACAUCCCUACUUUGUAUGCGGAGGCUGGAGUAAAACUAAAGGUAGAUGUACCAAUCUAAAGUUCUCCCUUGUGGGUCCUACCGGCACUUCUUUCGCGAGGAGCCAGUGUUACUCCUGUACUCUUACACACACGUGAGAGGAGUACCGAGAUCUAUAGAGGAAACUGCGGUAUCAUCUUUUGUAGGCCAAUUCGCACAAUGAGUGAGAAGAUCCUCAUCUUCUUCACAAAGUGGAAAUACCACCUUUUGUCAAACCAGGACUUUGCCCAUAAAACAAGGAAAUUCCUACUUUACAUUCUGAUACCUUUUCAUUGCUUCGGAAUGUCAACACAAUUCCACAGCAGUCAACGUGAGUAUUUUAUUAAGAUUUUCAGAUCUAUAAAAUACUCAAACAGUAUAGGUACUCAAAAGUGACCGUGCCGCUUUAACUUUGCAUGUUUAAAGAAUUGAUCUCAAAAUACCACUGUAAUAUGUCUGUGAAUCUGACAACUUGAUGUAGUUAGUUGAUCUCAAGUAAAUCACUUUGUAACACAUUAUAUUACAGAGAUAUUUACACUCUGAGAGUCCUGUUUGUUAGAGCAGACUGUUAGGGCAAACAUAUUUUCACCCUGCUAAAUAGGCAGAGGACAAUCCUGCAAAGUACACUACGUAACCCUAACAUAGUCAGCAUUUAAAGCUCACUUUUGACAAUACAUUGACAUAAGAAGACAAACAUGUUUUCCUAACACUAUAGUGUUCCCCUACCUAUGUAGGUUCCCACCCCCCCAUGCAGUGGUUUAAAAGGUAAAAUGUACUUAUCUUACAACCCUUGGGGCUGCUGCUCCACCGCUUUGGCUGAGAUCAUCAAGACUGAUGAGCUCAACCAAUCCAAUGCUUCUCCACAGGGAAGCAUUAAGAGACUUGUGCGCAUUGGCAUCAGUAGUAUAACCAACAGUUAUGAGAAGAAUGUUAACGUAACAUUUAGUAUAACCGCAUAACUAAUUCCCUUUAAACUGGCCGUGAUAAGCUACACCGUGGUAACAUGCAUCCGGUAGGAAAUAUAAAUUUCCAGCAACAAUUUGUUGCUUUUUGCAAUUAAAAAAAUAAAAUGUUGAAAUUUUUUUGACAAAUUUGACAAUAUUGUGAAGCUGAAUAAACAAAAUUUGCAAUUCUUGCGUCCA
Pelobates cultripes (western spadefoot toad) is the source of this 1537-nucleotide non-coding RNA. The record is from the annotation of a GenBank genome assembly. NCBI's taxonomy places the organism in Eukaryota, Metazoa, Chordata, Amphibia, Anura, Pelobatidae.